AAUGAACGCUGGCGGCAGGCCUAACACAUGCAAGUCGAGCGGAUGCAGGGGGCUUGCUCCUGGCUUCUGCGGCGGACGGGUGGGUCAUGCCCAGGAAUCUGCCUGGUCUCUGGGGAUGGGGUCCGAACACGGGAGCUAAUCUCGCAUCCGACCAGAGGUAGCACGUGGGGGAUCUUCGGUCCUAACGCUAUCUGAUGAGCCUAGGUGGUAUUAGCUAGUUGGAUGGGUAACGGCUUACCAAGGCGACGAUGCGUAACUGGGCUGAGAGGAUGAUCAGUAACACUGGAACUGGGACACGGUCCAGACUCCGACGGGAGGCAGCAGUAGGGAAUAUUCGGCAAUGGGCGAAAGCCUGAUCCAGCCAUGCCGCGUGAGUGAAGAAGGUCUUCGGAUCGUAAAGCACUGUAAGUUGGGAGGAAGAGAAGUAUGUUAAUACGUGGCUGUUUUGACGGUACCAAAAGAAAAAGCACCGGCUAACUUCGUG
Molecule: ribosomal RNA, 484 nt
Filed under: uncultured bacterium
Lineage: Bacteria
Description: partial 16S ribosomal RNA
Rfam family: Bacterial small subunit ribosomal RNA
Source: RNAcentral